This 1528-nucleotide ribosomal RNA is filed under the name Klebsiella quasipneumoniae subsp. similipneumoniae. Its description in RNAcentral is "bacterial SSU rRNA". It matches the Rfam family "Bacterial small subunit ribosomal RNA". Lineage: Bacteria; Pseudomonadati; Pseudomonadota; Gammaproteobacteria; Enterobacterales; Enterobacteriaceae. RNAcentral also lists the same sequence under 1 other name. The record is from RNAcentral.
AGAGUUUGAUCAUGGCUCAGAUUGAACGCUGGCGGCAGGCCUAACACAUGCAAGUCGAGCGGUAGCACAGAGAGCUUGCUCUCGGGUGACGAGCGGCGGACGGGUGAGUAAUGUCUGGGAAACUGCCUGAUGGAGGGGGAUAACUACUGGAAACGGUAGCUAAUACCGCAUAACGUCGCAAGACCAAAGUGGGGGACCUUCGGGCCUCAUGCCAUCAGAUGUGCCCAGAUGGGAUUAGCUAGUAGGUGGGGUAACGGCUCACCUAGGCGACGAUCCCUAGCUGGUCUGAGAGGAUGACCAGCCACACUGGAACUGAGACACGGUCCAGACUCCUACGGGAGGCAGCAGUGGGGAAUAUUGCACAAUGGGCGCAAGCCUGAUGCAGCCAUGCCGCGUGUAUGAAGAAGGCCUUCGGGUUGUAAAGUACUUUCAGCGGGGAGGAAGGCGAUAAGGUUAAUAACCUUGUCGAUUGACGUUACCCGCAGAAGAAGCACCGGCUAACUCCGUGCCAGCAGCCGCGGUAAUACGGAGGGUGCAAGCGUUAAUCGGAAUUACUGGGCGUAAAGCGCACGCAGGCGGUCUGUCAAGUCGGAUGUGAAAUCCCCGGGCUCAACCUGGGAACUGCAUUCGAAACUGGCAGGCUAGAGUCUUGUAGAGGGGGGUAGAAUUCCAGGUGUAGCGGUGAAAUGCGUAGAGAUCUGGAGGAAUACCGGUGGCGAAGGCGGCCCCCUGGACAAAGACUGACGCUCAGGUGCGAAAGCGUGGGGAGCAAACAGGAUUAGAUACCCUGGUAGUCCACGCCGUAAACGAUGUCGAUUUGGAGGUUGUGCCCUUGAGGCGUGGCUUCCGGAGCUAACGCGUUAAAUCGACCGCCUGGGGAGUACGGCCGCAAGGUUAAAACUCAAAUGAAUUGACGGGGGCCCGCACAAGCGGUGGAGCAUGUGGUUUAAUUCGAUGCAACGCGAAGAACCUUACCUGGUCUUGACAUCCACAGAACUUAGCAGAGAUGCUUUGGUGCCUUCGGGAACUGUGAGACAGGUGCUGCAUGGCUGUCGUCAGCUCGUGUUGUGAAAUGUUGGGUUAAGUCCCGCAACGAGCGCAACCCUUAUCCUUUGUUGCCAGCGGUCCGGCCGGGAACUCAAAGGAGACUGCCAGUGAUAAACUGGAGGAAGGUGGGGAUGACGUCAAGUCAUCAUGGCCCUUACGACCAGGGCUACACACGUGCUACAAUGGCAUAUACAAAGAGAAGCGACCUCGCGAGAGCAAGCGGACCUCAUAAAGUAUGUCGUAGUCCGGAUUGGAGUCUGCAACUCGACUCCAUGAAGUCGGAAUCGCUAGUAAUCGUAGAUCAGAAUGCUACGGUGAAUACGUUCCCGGGCCUUGUACACACCGCCCGUCACACCAUGGGAGUGGGUUGCAAAAGAAGUAGGUAGCUUAACCUUCGGGAGGGCGCUUACCACUUUGUGAUUCAUGACUGGGGUGAAGUCGUAACAAGGUAACCGUAGGGGAACCUGCGGUUGGAUCACCU